AUGGCGUCGACCUCGAGCUUGGAUUUGGGAAAGAUUGUGCCGCCGGCCGGCUUCCUCCACUGCCGCGCCGCCGUCCUCAGCGCCCCUGUUCUCUGGGGGAGGAGCGCGAGCGGGCGGUGCAGCCUCGCCGUCUCGGUGUCGUCCUCCAAUGGUGCAGCUGGGCUCUCCCCACUGAGUGACUCGGAGAAGAAAGGCCCUGUGGUGAUGGAGAUCCCGCUGGAAGAUAUCCGGAGGCCGCUAAUGCGAACGCGUGCUAAUGAUUCUGAUAAGGUGCAGGAGCUCAUGGACAGCAUCCGUGUCAUCAGCCUCCAAGUACCUGUGGGCUUCCUUUCCUUUAACAUUAAUUUUUCCAAAAUUAUUAUUUUUAGCUCAUAA
Molecule: ribosomal RNA, 375 nt
Filed under: Triticum aestivum (bread wheat)
Lineage: Eukaryota; Viridiplantae; Streptophyta; Magnoliopsida; Poales; Poaceae
Description: partial small subunit ribosomal RNA
Source: RNAcentral